This 244-nucleotide ribosomal RNA is filed under the name uncultured bacterium. RNAcentral's name for it is "partial 16S ribosomal RNA". It matches the Rfam family "Bacterial small subunit ribosomal RNA", at positions 113 to 353 of the family's 1533-position model. The record is from RNAcentral.
CGACGUGAGGAACCUGCCUUGGAGAGGGGGAAUAACACUCCGAAAGGAGUGCUAAUACCGCAUGAUGCAGUUGGGUCGCAUGGCUCUGACUGCCAAAGAUUUAUCGCUCUGAGAUGGCCUCGCGUCUGAUUAGCUAGUAGGCGGGGUAACGGCCCACCUAGGCGACGAUCAGUAGCCGGACUGAGAGGUUGACCGGCCACAUUGGGACUGAGACACGGCCCAGACUCCUACGGGAGGCAGCAUG